RNAcentral lists this ribosomal RNA (429 nucleotides) under Gemmatimonadota bacterium. RNAcentral's name for it is "Gemmatimonadetes bacterium partial 16S ribosomal RNA". It matches the Rfam family "Bacterial small subunit ribosomal RNA", at positions 355 to 776 of the family's 1533-position model. Lineage: Bacteria; Pseudomonadati; Gemmatimonadota. The record is from RNAcentral.
UAGGGAAUCUUCGGCAAUGGACGAAAGUCUGACCGAGCAACGCCGCGUGAGUGAAGAAGGUUUUCGGAUCGUAAAACUCUGUUGUUAGGGAAGAACAAGGACGUUAGUAACUGAACGUCCCCUGACGGUAUCUAACCAGAAAGCCACGGCUAACUACGUGCCAGCAGCCGCGGUAAUACGUAGGUGGCAAGCGUUGUCCGGAUUUAUUGGGCGUAAAGCGAGCGCAGGCGGUUUCUUAAGUCUGAUGUGAAAGCCCCCGGCUCAACCGGGGAGGGUCAUUGGAAACUGGGAGACUUGAGUGCAGAAGAGGAGAGUGGAAUUCCAUGUGUAGCGGUGAAAUGCGUAGAUAUAUGGAGGAACACCAGUGGCGAAGGCGGCUCUCUGGUCUGUAACUGACGCUGAGGCUCGAAAGCGUGGGGAGCAAACAGG